RNAcentral lists this ribosomal RNA (498 nucleotides) under Escherichia coli. RNAcentral's name for it is "bacterial SSU rRNA". It matches the Rfam family "Bacterial small subunit ribosomal RNA", at positions 1028 to 1526 of the family's 1533-position model. RNAcentral also lists the same sequence under 1 other name. The record is from RNAcentral. Lineage: Bacteria; Pseudomonadati; Pseudomonadota; Gammaproteobacteria; Enterobacterales; Enterobacteriaceae.
UGUGAGACAGGUGCUGCAUGGCUGUCGUCAGCUCGUGUUGUGAAAUGUUGGGUUAAGUCCCGCAACGAGCGCAACCCUUAUCCUUUGUUGCCAGCGGUCCGGCCGGGAACUCAAAGGAGACUGCCAGUGAUAAACUGGAGGAAGGUGGGGAUGACGUCAAGUCAUCAUGGCCCUUACGACCAGGGCUACACACGUGCUACAAUGGCGCAUACAAAGAGAAGCGACCUCGCGAGAGCAAGCGGACCUCAUAAAGUGCGUCGUAGUCCGGAUUGGAGUCUGCAACUCGACUCCAUGAAGUCGGAAUCGCUAGUAAUCGUGGAUCAGAAUGCCACGGUGAAUACGUUCCCGGGCCUUGUACACACCGCCCGUCACACCAUGGGAGUGGGUUGCAAAAGAAGUAGGUAGCUUAACCUUCGGGAGGGCGCUUACCACUUUGUGAUUCAUGACUGGGGUGAAGUCGUAACAAGGUAACCGUAGGGGAACCUGCGGUUGGAUCAC